RNA transcript from Aethalodelphis obliquidens (Pacific white-sided dolphin), 1666 nucleotides. It is a transcript of the gene named chromosome unknown C22orf23 homolog, with no coding region annotated. NCBI's taxonomy places the organism in Eukaryota, Metazoa, Chordata, Mammalia, Artiodactyla, Delphinidae. The record is from RefSeq and is a predicted model, not a curated record. The transcript is spliced from 3 exons.
GCGUGCGCGUUACCAUGGUAGCCAGGCAGGCUAGCUGCGGGCUCUAGUCGCUGAGAUCUCAAAAGUAUUUCUGCAGCGCCCGGGCGCGGGUGCUGCUUCAGAGCCCCGGUUACGAUCUGCUGAGCGCAGCCUCCGCUCUCUGUGGGGAGGGACCACUCAGCCGGGGUCUUACUUUAGGAGCCCUCCAUGGCUUCCCAGGAGAGGGUGGAGACAGUGACCAAAGGAGCAGGGUUCUGGCGCUGCCCCAAGCCGGCCACUUACACCCCAGAGACCUGCGAGCUGCUCAGAGCUCAGGAAGCCUCACUGAAGUGCUUUGUCCUGCAGUGAUGAUGAAGGAAUCCAAACUGACAAACUUCCAACGGCGCCACAUCAUGGACACCAUGAAACGUAAGAGGCCAUCUGCAGAAGCUUCCAGGGCAGAGGGAUCCUAUGCCACAUUUUUCAUGCUUCUCCAUAUUAAGGAGUAGGGGACCUCAUUUUAAAAGAGAAAAAAAAAUUGAAUAGUAUUUCUGACUCUUGCUCCUGGGGAAUUGACUUUGCAGGGUCUUUGCUUCUUCCCCCGACGUGGGUCACAGCACAUGAGCCCCUCCUGCAGUCUGGCUCCAGCCAACCUUCCCAACAGAUCACAGCCCAUUCGAGACUUCCUGCCCAGCCAAAUACUCUGAACGCUGUCAAGUCUACAAACUAAUCCCACCCUCUUACACACAUACCAUAUGAGCUCGCCGGAGGAGAGGACUGUGUGUGUCUCAUUCAUAGAUUUUUUCAUUCAUAGCUUAGCUGGCAGGAACAAGAUUACUGGCAGGCUUCCAACUUAGGAAAAGUAUGCAAAACCUUUCCACAGCUCACCUCUAACCACACAUUGUAUUAUUUAUUUUCAAGGAAAACAAAAAAGUGAAUGUACAUGGGCACAAUAACAAGGUGCUCUCUAAGAUCUUAAAAACAACCUUGCUUUCUGAGAUUUAACUGAAUCAACACGUAGUGGAUCAGAACAGAGAUCUGUAGAGUUACCUUUAAGAGGAUGCCAGAAGGUCCAAACCUGCCAAAUCUCACUUGAAUCUACCAAUAGCUCUUGCCGUCUCUCCAGAAAGAAGGUACCUAUCAGGAGGCAUCUGGUCAACCACAGAGGCAUGGGGAUGGGAAAGUCAGAGGGACAAAUAUCGACAGUGCCUGCCCAGCACUGGCAGAGGGAGGGAGGCUCCGUCAGACCAGUUCAGAAGUCAGAUCUCCUUCCUCAUUGUAGACAAGGACAACUCAGGCCGCCAUUGCCUAGCACCACAACACGGCUGAGUCACAGAACUCAAUCUCCAUACUCAGCAGUCUACUAAUCAUUGGGGUCCCCUAUAACAUGACUACAAAGAAUAUGCUAGAAAUUCCACUAAAAGUAAAUACCAGGAGACCAAGGACUGGGUCUGCCUUGUUCACCAUGGCACCUUGGCUCCCAGGCGCUCAACAUUAGUUGAAGGACUAAUUGCAUUAGUGGUUAGGGCAACACAAGUCACCAGUUUGCCUGGAAGUUUUGUUCUCCUUAAAAGUUUUUUCUUUAAAAUAUUGCCUCCAAGCAUUGGUGUUGAGUCUGGUUUCUUCUCCUAGAAUCAUCUCUCUAUUCCUCUCUUCUUUCUUUUUUUUUUUAAUUUAUCUUAUUUAUUUAUUUUUGUCUGCAUUGGGU